This 88-nucleotide ribosomal RNA is filed under the name Enterococcus durans. Its description in RNAcentral is "partial 23S ribosomal RNA". It matches the Rfam family "Bacterial large subunit ribosomal RNA", at positions 2838 to 2925 of the family's 2925-position model. The record is from RNAcentral. Lineage: Bacteria; Bacillati; Bacillota; Bacilli; Lactobacillales; Enterococcaceae.
UGAGAGAUGAUCAGGUAGAUAGGUCAGGAGUGGAAGGCCAGUGAUGGUUGGAGCGGACUGAUACUAAUCGAUCGAGGACUUAACCAAA